ACUCCCGGAUUGUUUUACGUAUCGGCACUGUUUGGUUUUUUAUUAGUCAAUAUGUAUUGAUUUUUUAUUUCCGCCAAAUGUGCUUUGAAAGUUUCACGACAGAAAAUUCAUUGUAUUUCGUGUAUAAUGGUGCUGAUACCACAGAGUAAGUUUUUAUUACUUGUAUUAUGAACUUUGCUGAUCACCGGAUAAGUGAUCUUUCUGUAAUUUUUGUAUUUUUUGUGUGAAGUGGUGAAUUGUGUGCAUUUUGACCGGUAUUUGUUUACAUCCUUGUAACGCCCGUUAACUGCUUAUUUUGAGUUUUCAUGUAUAAGUUAAGAUAAUUAACCUAUCUGGUCUGACUUUGCCCGAUUAAAUUUUUUAUUUUAAAUCUGCGUUACUCAGUUGGUUUGAAGAAAAUAUUUCUAUGGAACGCCAUUUGUGUCAUUUAAUGAACGUACAGUUUUUACAUUUUUUACUUCACAUUGAUUAGAAUUGCUUUAUAUCAUAAUUGUUUGUGUGUAUGAAGAUAUAUUUUGCUUGUAAGGUUGUAUAAAUGUUUAUCUACAUGUAGGUAACUGUUAUAUCAUUCACAUGCAGUUUUCUAUGGUUUACAAGUUAUGGCUAUCAGUUAGUGACAUAAUUGUAAUUUUUUAGGUAACACUUUGCCAUUGUUUUGCAAACAUGGUAAUUUGUUUUAUUUUGUAUCUUUUCAGUUUUGUACCCUCCCCGGAGGUUCUGUGUAUGAAUAAAGAAUUUACGAUAUUGGAUUUGUCUUCCUUAAGACUGCACAGUACAAAAUCUGCAACAAUCAGCUAGACAACCAGUCAUGAGUUCAGAUCCAGGAUCUUUAAUGGCUUUUCAACGAGAAAGGAAAUUGAACCCAAAAGGCCAAGAACAAUACAAAUUACAGACAGAAAAAUAUUUAGACAAACUACGGAAACUUAAACGGGUCAUCGAUUCAUAUAUAUUCAGUAUAGAUGUUAACAACUUGCCUGAUCAACAACAAGUGAAGCAAAUUCGUCAGGAUGUUAUAGACAGAUUUAAUGCCUUCACACAGGAGUCUACUCACUUCAUACUGUUUCUUCAAGGUACACGCACUAAAGAGAGCAGUCAGGAAGAGUCUGGUCACCAUGUUAUAGUGCAAUCAUUGAAAAGUAAAGUUGACAAUUUCAUUGCUAUUAUUGACAAACAUUUACAUAAUCCAAAUGUCAGCAAAAAGGAAAAGAAAAAUAGUGUUAAAUCGAAUCCUCAAUUAGCAUCAACUAUGAAGUUAGUGAAGCAAGACAGUGUAAAAUCUAGUCCAACAGUCAAAAUAGAAAGAAAAAGUAGUGUCAAGUCUCAUCGUGUUUCGAAGAAGUCUGAUUUAGAUUAUCAUAGUACUAAAACAAAGCGAAGUUCACUAGAAUCGUUCACUUCACAUGCAUCAGAAAUGCUCGUAAAGGAACAAGUAAAGUUGGAAGCUGCAAAGGUGCGGUUAAAAUAUACUGAACAAGAGCAAGAGCUAACACGUCAAAAAGCUGCUCUCGAUGCAAACUUGGAAAAGCUUGUGAGGGAACGUGAGGUUGACGAGGCAGAGUCAAAGGUUCGAACUAUUCAGGAGGCAUUGCAAGGCAGUAGCGAGGACAGUUCAACAGAGAAUUCUGAUGUCAAUGAUGAUUUUGUGUUUGAUAGAACUGAACAAUUUGUAAUUCAAGAUUCUUAUGAACGUUUAAGUGGAAAAGAUAAAAUACUCCAUACUGACAGCAAACUCAAUGACGUGACAAUUAUUCAAACAGUUGCUGACGUGCAUGCAACUCACGAUGAUUGUAACAACAACAAAGUCAACAAAAUUAUUCAAGAUAUCAAACCUGUUCAAACUACCAAUGUUGUCAAGUCAGGUCAAAUGAUAAAAACCGGACCAGAUCUAACUAAGAAGAACGUUCAAAAUGUGCAUUAUGGUAAAUUUAUCGACACUGUACAAGAAACAAAUCACGAUAAGACUUUGAAUGCAGAAGCGCCUGUCUUCAUUCCAUCUACAAAAGAAGUAAACAUGUGUGAUGAAUUUUCACGAUUCAUGGUUAGAAAGGAACUCGUGUUUUCACGUCUGACAAAGUAUGAUGAUCAACCUGAUAUGUACAUUGCAUGGAAAUCAAUGUUCGAAAACAUAGCCCAUGAGUUAAGGCUUACAGCAGCAGAGGAAGUGGACCUCUUAGUGAAAUGGCUUGGACCGACAUCGUCCAAACAAGCUCUUAGAAUUCGCUCUGCUAAUGCUGACAAUCCAGAGAAAUGUCGCGAUCGUAUAUGGGAAAGACUCGAGGAUCGAUUUGGUCGACCAGAAUUGGUGGAGGAUACCAUCAAACGUAAAAUUGCAUCGUUUACUAAAAUAACAACUAAGGACUACCGACCACUUUUCGACCUGUCAGAUAUUGUAGAGGAGAUAAGUUCUAUCAUGAAUAGUGUACGUUAUCAUUCAGUAUUUUCACACUUCAACUCAUCAUCAGGAGUCAAUCAAAUUGUGUUAAAACUUCCUUAUAACUUACAAGAAAAAUGGACUCAGGAAGCUAACAGAUAUAAAACAAGGAAUAACGUCAUGUAUCCUCCAUUCAGUGUUUUCGCCAAUUUCAUCUCCAACAUGGCAAAACUUAGGAACGAUCCUAGUUUUCAAUAUGAGCCUUUUAUAGAACCAAACAGUCAACAGAGGCCCCGUAAAACUGGACCAGUUCAUGUGUCUGCCAGGAUAACGCAAUCAGAGGACCUUCAUAAUGGUCCAAAAAUUAACUCGUCAUCUCGUCAAAAUCUGGAUAGUCACCCAGUUGAAUCAUUAUCUUGUCCAAUUCAUGGAACAAACCAUACCCUAAAUAUGUGUCGUGGAUUCCGUUUGAAACCCAUUUCUGAGAGAAAAGACUUUCUAAAGAAAAAUGGACUUUGCUACCGGUGUUGUGGACCAAAAAAGCAUUUGAGCAAAAAUUGUACAGAAACCGUAAAAUGUAUCGUAUGCAAAAGCAAUCGACAUCCAUCAGCAUUACACAUUGACGUGUCAAAGUCUCAUGAUUCUUCAGAUACCGGUAAUUCCCACGGAGGGGAGGAAACUGUGGAAAAUAAGUGUACUCAGGUAUGCGGAACGAACAUUGGAACAAGUAAAUCUUGUGCUAAAAUCAUACUUGUUAAUGUCUUCCCAAAAGACAACCCGACCAAUGUACGACAGGUUUACUGUUUAAUAGAUGAUCAGAGUAAUAGGUCACUUGCCACUGCAAAAUUCUUCGAUGAGUUUGAAGAAAACGGUAAAGACUCAGAAUAUGUGUUAACGACUUGCUCUGGUCAAUUUACUUCCUCAGGUCGUCGAGCUAAGAACUAUAUCGUUGAGAGUGUCAACCAUGAAAAUCAACUGUUACUCCCUGAAAUCAUAGAAUGUCAAGAGAUACCGAACAACAGGCACGAAAUACCGUCACAAGAGUUAGCUAGAAAAUUUGAUCAUUUGAAAGAUAUUGCUCAGUUUAUACAGCCAAUUCAGUCCGAUGUUAGCAUAGAACUUUUGAUCGGCAGAGAUUUAAUAUCUUCGCAUUAUGUGUUAGAUCAUCGCAUUGGGAAAGAUGGACUUCCGUAUGCGCAAAAACUCCCACUAGGAUGGGUGAUACUUGGAGAAACAUGCCUUGGUAAAGUGCAUUACCCUGACAUCGUCCAUGUCAACAAGACACACGUAUUAGAAGAUGGAAGAGCUACAUUUUUUAAGCCUUGUGAGUAUGAAUUGAAAUUGAAAUCAGACGGCAUAUUUACGAAGACGCCGUAUGAUGAAAACGUUGGCUUAGCAGUUGAGGACAAGGAUUUUCUUGACAUUAUGGAUGCUAAUUUUGAACAAGAUAAAAGCGGUCAAUGGACAGUUCCGCUGCCCUUUAAGGUUAACAGACAACCUUUACAGAGCAAUCAUGGUCUCGCACUCAAACGAGCCAAAUCAUUUGACUAUUCUCUCUCAAAAGAUGAAAGAAAAGCAAAGCAUGUGACCGAUUUCAUGCAAAGGAUGAUAGAUAACAAUCAUGCUGAGGAAGUACCUACUCUUAAAAGUGGAGAAGAACACUGGUAUUUACCAAUUUUUGGGGUUUACCACCCACGUAAGCCUGAUAGCAUCCGCCUUGUAUUUGACAGUAGUGCGAAAUUUGAGAACCAGUCGCUCAAUGAUGUGUUAUUGAAAGGUCCUGAUCUUACCAAUAAAUUAUUAGGAAUCCUACUCAACUUCAGGAAGGAAAAGAUUGCAAUUACAUGUGAUGUCGAACAGAUGUUUUACAAUUUUAAAGUACGUGAAGACCAUAGAGACUUUUUACGAUUCUUGUGGCAUAAACAGAAUGAUUUAUCAAAACCACUUACUGAUUUUAGAAUGAAUGUGCAUGUAUUUGGGAACCGCCCAUCUCCUGCCAUUGCAACCUACGGCUUCCGUAAGACUGUCGAAAAUGAAAAUCAGGAUGUGAGAGAUUUUGUAAACGAUCAUUUCUAUGUAGAUGAUGGACUAAUAUCAUGUCAAAAUAUUAGUGAAGCUGUUAGUCUUAUCAAGCGAACACAGUCAGCUUUAUGGGAUCGUGGAAAGAUGCGUCUCCACAAAAUCACGUCAAAUAGCACAGAACUUCUCGAACAAUUUGACUCAGGCGACCUAGCGAAAGGUUUGAAGGAUUUAGAUUUAAGUUCAGAUGAACUUCCCACUCAGCGCAGCUUAGGUGUGUCAUGGGAUAUAGGAACUGACGAGAUAACAUUUCAAAUAUCCCCAGAUGUGAAACCAUUUACUCGACGUGGAGCACUCUCCACUAUUAACAGCAUUUACGACCCGGUUGGUUUUGCAGCCCCUGUGAUAAUUCGUGGAAAGUUGUUACUACGAGAGAUGAUAGGAUCUAGUGUAGUUAACUGGGACGACAUUCUGUCAGAUUCGUAUCUGGAACAGUGGGAAGCAUGGGUAACUUCACUCAAAGGUCUUGAAACUUUGCGAAUACCUCGUAUGUAUACCACAGUGUCAUUUGCCAUAGCAACUUUACGCGAGAUACAUAUCUUUUCUGAUGCCUCGAAAGAAGCAAUUGGUGCAGUAGCAUACCUAAAACUUAGUGAUGGGAAUUCUACAGAGAUAAGUUUUGUAAUGGGCAAGGCAAAGGUUGCGCCAUCCACAGGGCACACUAUACCCCGUUUAGAAUUGUGCGGCGCUGUACUUGCGGUAGAAAUGGCUGACAUCAUCAAAGAACACCUGAAAAUAGAAACUAAAAACAUGUAUUUUUAUACGGAUAGUCAAGUUGUCCUUGGAUAUAUCAACAACACAAGUCGUCGGUUUUACGUCUAUGUCUGUAAUAGGAUAAGUAGAAUCCGUGCUUCAAGCGACCCAGGACAGUGGUGUUAUGUGUCUAGUGAAAUGAAUCCUGCCGAUAUCGCAACAAGAAGCGUACAGGCAGCAACCCUUCAAAAUACUACAUGGUUUCGCGGACCAUCAUUUCUUCUACAUGAAAUUGACUCUACUUCGAAAACAGAUCAUAAUUUAGUUGAUCCUGAAUUGGAUCGAGAGGUCAGACCUGAAAUACAAACAUUCAAAACUACGUCUGUAGAUAGUAAGCCAUUAGCAUCAGUCUCCUCUCGAUUUGGCAGAUACUCUGAGUGGAGAAAACUCGUGUCAGCGAUCAAUUGUCUUAGAAGUAAAAUUAAACACCACAAAUUAGUAAAAACAUUAAAGUCUAAUACCAUGAACGUUGUAGAACAACUACUGGAAACCGAACGUUUCAUUGUCAAGGAAGUUCAAAAAGAAGAAUUUCAAGAGGAUAUAGAUUCUUUGAUGGGAUGCAACAAACGUCUCCCAAGAAAUAGUUCACUUCUACCCUUAAACCCGUUUCUCGAUUCAAAUGGACUUCUAAGAGUAGGAGGACGUAUCAAACAUAGCGAGCUAAGUGACUCAUGUAAACAACCUAUUAUUAUUCCAAAAGGACAUCAUAUUGCAAUUCUACUCAUAUGCCACUAUCAUGUAAGGGUUGCACAUCAAGGUAGAUCGUUUACAGAAGCAGCGAUAAGAAAUGCAGGCUAUUGGAUUGUUGGUGUUAAACGUCUUAUAAAUUCAGUCAUACGGAAGUGUGUGCAGUGUAAGAAAUUACGAGGAAAACUUUGUACUCAGCAGAUGGCUGAUUUGCCGAAAGACAGGUUAACUCCAAGUCCGCCCUUUUCGUAUGUAGGGGUUGAUGCAUUUGGCCCAUGGCCAGUUACGUUUCGUCGUACACGAGGUGGUGUAUCCCAAUCAAAACGUUGGGCUCUGUUAUUUGCUUGUCUGGUUACUAGAGCUAUUCAUCUGGAAGUUAUUGAGGAACUGAGCAGCUCUUCGUUCAUAAAUGCUUGGCGUCGAUUCAUCGCACUUAGAGGACCAGUUCGACAAGUGAGAUCCGAUAGAGGUACAAACUUUGUGGGGGCAACCCAGGAUCUUUCGAUGAUUGCUCAAUUUGUUGAAGACCGUAAUGUUCAGAACUUUUUAAACGACAAUCGAAUUACAUGGCAGUUUAACCCGCCCCAUGCCUCCCAUUUCGGUGGGGCAUGGGAACGACUUAUCGGAGUGUCUAGGAGAAUAUUGGACUCAUUGCUGUUAGAAAACCGUUUCAAAGACUUGACUCAUGAGAUGUUGACCACCUUUUUAGCAGAAGUAACUGCAAUUGUCAACAACCGACCAUUGACAUGUGUAUCGUAUGACUCUGAGUCACCAAGUGUGCUUACUCCGUCUCUUCUGCUCACUCAAAAAACAGCAGACGACAUUUGUCCAUUUCCAGAUUUUGAGAAAAAAGACUCUAUAAGACAUCAUUGGAAGUAUGUGCAAUUUCUCGCUCAACAAUUCUGGACAAAGUGGCGACAGGAAUAUUUACAUUCAUUGCAAGUACGACCUAAAUGGCAAACGGAAGAACAUAAUGUUAAAGUUGGAACAGUAGUACUCAUGAAAGACAAUAAUUGUGCAAGAAAUUACUGGCCAACUGGUAUCGUUCAAAGAGUUUUCCCCAGUGAGGAUGGAAAAAUUCGUAAAGUUGAACUUCGAAUCAUUCGCGAUGGUCAACCAGUGACUUAUGUGAGACCAAUAUCUCAAAUCGUUUUGCUUGUUGAGCCUGAAUAAACACUGUAAUCUUGAUAAUAACAUUAUUGAUAAUGUAUGUGGGUUUAUCAAAAGAUAAUACUGUGUGGACUUUAGAAUUUUUCAUUUAUUGUGUAUUUAUGAAUUGAACUUGAUUAUGUAUGUAGUGAUUUCUUAUGAAAUCAGGAGGGGAGUGUGCUGACUCCCGGAUUGUUUUACGUAUCGGCACUGUUUGGUUUUUUAUUAGUCAAUAUGUAUUGAUUUUUUAUUUCCGCCAAAUGUGCUUUGAAAGUUUCACGACAGAAAAUUCAUUGUAUUUCGUGUAUAAUGGUGCUGAUACCACAGAUUUUGUACCCUCCCCGGAGGUUCUGUGUAUGAAUAAAGAAUUUACGAUAUUGGAUUUGUCUUCCUUAAGACUGCACAA
RNA transcript from Mytilus trossulus (common blue mussel), 7445 nucleotides. RefSeq lists it as uncharacterized. The transcript has 2 exons. The record is from RefSeq and is a predicted model, not a curated record. NCBI's taxonomy places the organism in Eukaryota, Metazoa, Mollusca, Bivalvia, Mytilida, Mytilidae.